GAUGAACGCUGGCGGCGUGCCUAAUACAUGCAAGUCGAGCGAACCACUUCGGUGGUGAGCGGCGAACGGGUGAGUAACACGUAGGUGAUCUGCCCAUCAGACGGGGACAACGAUUGGAAACGAUCGCUAAUACCGGAUAGGACGAAAGUUUAAAGGUGCUUCUGGCACCGCUGAUGGAUGAGCCUGCGGCGCAUUAGCUAGUUGGUAGGGUAAAGGCCUACCAAGGCGACGAUGCGUAGCCGACCUGAGAGGGUGAACGGCCACACUGGGACUGAGACACGGCCCAGACUCCUACGGGAGGCAGCAGUAGGGAAUGUUCGGCAAUGGGAGAAAGCCUGUCCGAGCAACGCCGCGUGAAUGAUGAAGGCCUUCGGGUUGUAAAAUUCUGUUAUAAGGGAAGAACGACUUUAGUAGGAAAUGGCUAGAGUGUGACGGUACCUUAUGAGAAAGCCACGGCUAACUACGUGCCAGCAGCCGCGGUAA
This 483-nucleotide ribosomal RNA is filed under the name uncultured bacterium. RNAcentral's name for it is "partial 16S ribosomal RNA". It matches the Rfam family "Bacterial small subunit ribosomal RNA", at positions 28 to 523 of the family's 1533-position model. The record is from RNAcentral.